CCCAAGGUCUCUAACAAGAGUUUAAGAUACUCACGUAGAAUAAAAGAAAAGGAAAUAUCAAAGUUGUAGAUUAAAAAGUAACGAUUCAAUUGUUUAUUCUAAUGUACUACUUAUUAACCAAAAAUAACCAAACUCGCUAAAGCUAAACCUAUACUAUACUGGAAAACGAUAACAUAAAAUAGGACAAAAUCCUAAACAACAAAUAGCACUAAGUCAAA
RNAcentral lists this long non-coding RNA (218 nucleotides) under Trifolium pratense (red clover). RNAcentral describes it as "long non-coding RNA (TPRA_LNC012854)". The record is from RNAcentral. Lineage: Eukaryota; Viridiplantae; Streptophyta; Magnoliopsida; Fabales; Fabaceae.